UACGGAGGGUGCGAGCGUUAAUCGGAAUUACUGGGCGUAAAGCGCGCGUAGGCGGUUUGGUAAGCUGGAUGUGAAAGCCCUGGGCUCAACCUGGGAACUGCAUCCAGAACUGCCAAGCUAGAGUAUGGUAGAGGGCAGUGGAAUUUCCGGUGUAGCGGUGAAAUGCGUAGAGAUCGGAAGGAACACCAGUGGCGAAGGCGACUGCCUGGGCUAACACUGACGCUCAUGCACGAAAGCGUGGGGAGCAAACAGGAUUAGAUACCCGGGUAGU
RNAcentral lists this ribosomal RNA (271 nucleotides) under uncultured archaeon. RNAcentral's name for it is "partial 16S ribosomal RNA". It matches the Rfam family "Bacterial small subunit ribosomal RNA", at positions 524 to 794 of the family's 1533-position model. The record is from RNAcentral.